RNAcentral lists this ribosomal RNA (497 nucleotides) under uncultured bacterium. RNAcentral's name for it is "partial 16S ribosomal RNA". It matches the Rfam family "Bacterial small subunit ribosomal RNA", at positions 28 to 507 of the family's 1533-position model. The record is from RNAcentral.
GACGAACGCUGGCGGCGUGCCUAAUACAUGCAAGUUGAGCGCUGAAGGUUGGUACUUGUACCAACUGGAUGAGCAGCGAACGGGUGAGUAACGCGUGGGGAAUCUGCCUUUGAGCGGGGGACAACAUGUGGAAACGAAUGCUAAUACCGCAUAAAAACUUUAAACACAAGUUUUAAGUUUGAAAGAUGCAAUUGCGUCACUCAAAGAUGAUCCCGCGUUGUAUUAGCUAGUUGGUGAGGUAAAGGCUCACCAAGGCGAUGAUACAUAGCCGACCUGAGAGGGUGAUCGGCCACAUUGGGACUGAGACACGGCCCAAACUCCUACGGGAGGCAGCAGUAGGGAAUCUUCGGCAAUGGACGAAAGUCUGACCGAGCAACGCCGCGUGAGUGAAGAAGGUUUUCGGAUCGUAAAACUCUGUUGGUAGAGAAGAACGUUGGUGAGAGUGGAAAGCUCAUCAAGUGACGGUAACUACCCAGAAAGGGACGGCUAACUACGUG